GAUGAACGCUGGCGGCGUGCCUAAUACAUGCAAGUCGAGCGAACAGACGAGGAGCUUGCUCCUCUGACGUUAGCGGCGGACGGGUGAGUAACACGUGGAUAACCUACCUAUAAGACUGGGAUAACUUCGGGAAACCGGAGUUAAUACCGGAUAAUAUAUUGAACCGCAUGGUUCAAUAGUGAAAGACGGUUUUGCUGUCACUUAUAGAUGGAUCCGCGCCGCAUUAGCUAGUUGGUAAGGUAACGGCUUACCAAGGCAACGAUGCGUAGCCGACCUGAGAGGGUGAUCGGCCACACUGGAGCUGAGACACGGUCCAGACUCCUACGGGAGGCAGCAGUAGGGAAUCUUCCGCAAUGGGCGAAAGCCUGACGGAGCAACGCCGCGUGAGUGAUGAAGGUCUUCGGAUCGUAAAACUCUGUUAUUAGGGAAGAACAAAUGUGUAAGUAACUAUGCACGUCUUGACGGUACCUAAUCAGAAAGCCACGGCUAACUACGUG
Molecule: ribosomal RNA, 497 nt
Filed under: uncultured bacterium
Lineage: Bacteria
Description: partial 16S ribosomal RNA
Rfam family: Bacterial small subunit ribosomal RNA
Source: RNAcentral